Molecule: ribosomal RNA, 868 nt
Filed under: uncultured archaeon
Lineage: Archaea
Description: bacterial SSU rRNA
Rfam family: Archaeal small subunit ribosomal RNA
Source: RNAcentral
CUCCGGUUGAUCCUGCCGGACCCGACUGCUAUCAGAGUGGGACUAAGCCAUGCGAGUCAACAUAGCAAUAUGUGGCAUACGGCUCAGUAACACGUAGUCAACAUGCCCAGGGGACGUGGAUAACCUCGGGAAACUGAGGAUAAACCGCGAUAAGCCAAGGUUUCUGGAAUGGACACUGGCUGAAACCUAUACGGCCCCUGGAUUGGACUGCGGCCGAUCAGGCUGUUGGUGAGGUAAUGGCCCACCAAACCUGUAACCGGUACGGGCUUUGAGAGAAGGAGCCCGGAGAUGGGCACUGAGACAAGGGCCCAGGCCCUAUGGGGCGCAGCAGGCGCGAAACCUCUGCAAUAGGCGAAAGCUUGACAGGGUUACUCUGAGUGAUGCCCGCUAAGGGCAUCUUUUGGCACCUCUAAAAAUGGUGCAGAAUAAGGGGUGGGCAAGUCUGGUGUCAGCCGCCGCGGUAAUACCAGCACCCCGAGUGGUCGGGACGAUUAUUGGGCCUAAAGCAUCCGUAGCUUGUUCUGCAAGUCCUCCGUUAAAUCCACCUGCUCAACAGAUGGGCCGCGGAGGAUACUACAGGGCUAGGAGGCGGGAGAGGCAAGCGGUACUCAGUGGGUAGGGGUAAAAUCCUCUGAUCCACUGAAGACCACCAGUGGCGAAGGCGGCUUGCCAGAACGCGCUCGACGGUGAGGGAUGAAAGCUGGGGGAGCAAACCGGAUUAGAUACCCGGGUAGUCCCAGCUGUAAACGAUGCAGACUCGGUGAUGGGUUGGCUUUGAGCCAACCCAGUGCCGCAGGGAAGCCGUUAAGUCUGCCGCCUGGGGAGUACGGUCGCAAGACUGAAACUUAAAGGAAUUGGCGGGGGAGCA